ACCUGCCGAUAACUCGGGGAUAGCCUUUCGAAAGAAAGAUUAAUACCCGAUGGCAUAAUAGAACCGCAUGGUUUGAUUAUUAAAGAAUUUCGGUUAUCGAUGGGGAUGCGUUCCAUUAGGCAGUUGGUGGGGUAACGGCCCACCAAACCUUCGAUGGAUAGGGGUUCUGAGAGGAAGGUCCCCCACAUUGGAACUGAGACACGGUCCAAACUCCUACGGGAGGCAGCAGUGAGGAAUAUUGGUCAAUGGGCGCAGGCCUGAACCAGCCAAGUAGCGUGAAGGAUGACUGCCCUAUGGGUUGUAAACUUCUUUUAUAUGGGAAUAAAGUGGUCCACGUGUGGAUUUUUGUAUGUACCAUAUGAAUAAGGAUCGGCUAACUCCGUGCCAGCAGCCGCGGUAAUACGGAGGAUCCGAGCGUUAUCCGGAUUUAUUGGGUUUAAAGGGAGCGUAGGUGGACAGUUAAGUCAGUUGUGAAAGUUUGCGGCUCAACCGUAAAAUUGCAGUUGAUACUGGCUGUCUUGAGUACAGUAGAGGUGGGCGGAAUUCGUGGUGUAGCGGUGAAAUGCUUAGAUAUCACGAAGAACUCCGAUUGCGAAGGCAGCUCACUGGACUGCAACUGACACUGAUGCUCGAAAGUGUGGGUAUCAAACAGGAUUAGAUACCCUGGUAGUCCACACAG
Molecule: ribosomal RNA, 679 nt
Filed under: uncultured organism
Description: SSU rRNA
Rfam family: Bacterial small subunit ribosomal RNA
Source: RNAcentral